GCAUUAAGGUUCCUCAUCAGCAUAACAGACAAAAUACCUAUCUUAAUAAAGGGUUGGAGGCCAGAUGCAGUCAUUUAGCUCUGUUAUCCCAGCUACUCUGGAGGCUGCGACAUGAGAAUUGCUUGAACCUGGGAGUAGCUGGGAGUACAGGCACGCGCCACCACGCCCAGCUAAUUUUUUUAUUUUUAGUAGAGACAGGGUUUCACCAUGUUGGCCAGGCUGGUCUCGAAUCCUGGCCUCAAGUGAUCCACCUGCCUUGGCCUCCCAAAGUGUUGGGAUUACAGGUGUGAUACAGGUGUGAGCCACUGCACCCGGCCAGAAGAUAGGGUCAAACAUCAAAAACAGCAAGGUCUGAUCUGAUGCGAAAAAUCUCUGAAGCAUUCCGGUUGUUUGUUAAUAUAUAAAUGAAGCACCUAUAAAAUGAUGGAUGUUGUC
Long non-coding RNA from Homo sapiens (human), 435 nucleotides. Lineage: Eukaryota; Metazoa; Chordata; Mammalia; Primates; Hominidae. The record is from Ensembl.